This 227-nucleotide long non-coding RNA is filed under the name Phaseolus vulgaris (common bean). RNAcentral's name for it is "long non-coding RNA (PVUL_LNC000388)". Lineage: Eukaryota; Viridiplantae; Streptophyta; Magnoliopsida; Fabales; Fabaceae. The record is from RNAcentral.
AAUAAAAGCAAAAUUUGACAAAAUAUUUUUGCAAUUCAGAUAAAUUCAACCGUCAUAUAACGCAAUUAAGAGUUCCAAUUAAAGGAAAAGGAAUUGAAGAGAGAGAGUUAUACAGAAAAUGAUAGGGUUAGGAACGAAGGGAGACGGAGAGAGAACCCGGUGAUUGCGUGUUUGGACUUGGAUCGGAUUUUGAUACUGCGUUUCGGAUUGGGUUGGUUAGGUUCCCA